RNAcentral lists this ribosomal RNA (548 nucleotides) under uncultured bacterium. Its description in RNAcentral is "bacterial SSU rRNA". It matches the Rfam family "Bacterial small subunit ribosomal RNA", at positions 355 to 896 of the family's 1533-position model. The record is from RNAcentral.
UAGGGAAUCUUCGGCAAUGGACGGAAGUCUGACCGAGCAACGCCGCGUGAGUGAAGAAGGUUUUCGGAUCGUAAAGCUCUGUUGUAAGAGAAGAACGAGUGUGAGAGUGGAAAGUUCACACUGUGACGGUAUCUUACCAGAAAGGGACGGCUAACUACGUGCCAGCAGCCGCGGUAAUACGUAGGUCCCGAGCGUUGUCCGGAUUUAUUGGGCGUAAAGCGAGCGCAGGCGGUUAGAUAAGUCUGAAGUUAAAGGCUGUGGCUUAACCAUAGUACGCUUUGGAAACUGUUUAACUUGAGUGCAAGAGGGGAGAGUGGAAUUCCAUGUGUAGCGGUGAAAUGCGUAGAUAUAUGGAGGAACACCGGUGGCGAAAGCGGCUCUCUGGCUUGUAACUGACGCUGAGGCUCGAAAGCGUGGGGAGCAAACAGGAUUAGAUACCCUGGUAGUCCACGCCGUAAACGAUGAGUGCUAGGUGUUGGUCUCGUAAGAGAUCAGUGCUGCAGCUAACGCAUUAAGCACUCCGCCUGGGGAGUACGACCGCAAGGUUG